AUUACACAACAAUUCCCACAAGCUUUUUUGAGCUUUAUUUUGAGUUCUUCAUUAUAUAUAAUUACUAGAUAAGGUCCGCCUAUAUAGGCGGGUGUAUAGGCGGAUGUAAGAUAAAAAUUUAUUCAAAUAUUCAUUAAGAAU
RNAcentral lists this small RNA (141 nucleotides) under Arabidopsis thaliana (thale cress). RNAcentral's name for it is "ATSL207930". Lineage: Eukaryota; Viridiplantae; Streptophyta; Magnoliopsida; Brassicales; Brassicaceae. The record is from RNAcentral.